ACCCCGGGAGGGGAGUGAAAGAGAACCUGAAACCGCAUACAUACAAACAGUAGGAGCCCUACGGGGUGACUGCGUACCUUUUGCAUAAUGGGUCAGCGACUUACGUUUUGCGGCAAGCUUAACCGAGUAGGGGAGGCGCAGCGAAAGCGAGUUCGAACAGAGCGAUAGAGUCGUAAGGCGUAGACCCGAAACCAGAUGAGCUAACCAUGGCCAGGUUGAAGGUGUGGUAACACACACUGGAGGACCGAACCGACCGGUGUUGCAAAACCGGCGGAUGAGCUGUGGUUAGGGGUGAAAGGCUUAACAAAUCUGGAGAUAGCUGGUUCUCCCCGAAAACUAUUGAGGUAGUGCCUCGUGACUGACUCCGGGGGGUAGAGCACUGUUAUGGCUAGGGGGACAUGGCGUCUUACCAAACCAUGGCAAACUCCGAAUACCCGGAAGUUGAAUCACGGGAGACAGAGCACCGGGUGCUAACGUCCGGACUCAAAAGGGAAACAACCCAGACCGCCGUUUAAGGUCCCAAAUACAGGCUAAGUGGAAAACGAAGUGUGAAGGCUAAGACAGUCAGGAAGUUGGCUUAGAAGCAGCCAUCCUUCAAAGAAAGCGUAAUAGCUCACUGAUCGAGUCCUCAUGCGCGGAAGAUGUAACGGGGCUAAGUCUGUAACCGAAAGCGCGGAUUUGUACGCAAGUACAAGUGGUAGGGGAGCGUUCUGUAAGCCUGCGAAGGUGUGUGGUAACGCAUGCCGGAGGUAUCAGAAGUGCGAAUGCUGACAUGAGUAACGAUAAAGCGGGUGAAAAGCCCGCUCGCCGUAAGCCCAAGGUUUCCUGCUCUACGUUCAUCGGAGCAGGGUGAGUCGGCCCCUAAGGCCAGGCUGAGAAGCGUAGCUGAUGGGAAGCAGAUUAAGAUUUCUGCACCGACGUUAAGUGCGAAGGGGGGACGGAGUUUUGAGCAUCAUCCGGGUGUUGGAUGUCCCGGUUUGUGCGUGUAGGAGGCCGGCAGGCAAAUCCGCCGGCGAAUCUCCGAGACAAAGCAUCGAGCUGCAUUUUGCAGUGAAGUGAUGGGAUGAACUUCCAGGAAAAGCCUCUAAGCAAUAGCUUAAUGUCGACCGUACCGUAAACCGACACAGGUGGGCGAGUUGAAUAUACUCAGGCGCUUGAGAGAACUCGGGAGAAGGAACUCGGCAAAUUGACACCGUAACUUCGGGAUAAGGUGUGCCUUUGUAGUGUGAAGAGUGAAACACUCCGAGCAUGAAGAGGUCACAGAGAAUAGGUGGCUGCAACUGUUUACUAAAAACACAGCACUCUGCAAAGACGAAAGUCGACGUAUAGGGUGUGAUGCCUGCCCGGUGCCGGAAGAUUAAGUGAUGGGGUGAGAGCUCCUGAUCGAAGUCCCGGUAAACGGCGGCCGUAACUAUAACGGUCCUAAGGUAGCGAAAUUCCUUGUCGGGUAAGUUCCGACCUGCACGAAUGGCAUAAUGAUGGCCACACUGUCUCCUCCCGAGACUCAGUGAAGUUGAAAUGUUUGUGAUGAUGCAAUCUCCCCGCGGCUAGACGGAAAGACCCCAUGAACCUUUACUGCAGCUUUGCAUUGGACUUUGAACCGAUCUGUGUAGGAUAGGCGGGAGGCAGAGAACCGAGGACGCCAGUCUUUGGGGAGCCGACGUUGAAAUACCGCCCUGAUUUGUUUGAGGUUCUAACCGCGGACAGUAAACCUGUUCCGGGACCGUGCAUGGUAGGCAGUUUGACUGGGGCGGUCUCCUCCUAAAGGGUAACGGAGGAGUACAAAGGUACGCUAGGUACGGUCGGAAAUCGUGCUGAUAGUGCAAUGGCGCAAGCGUGCUUGACUGCGAGACCGACAAGUCGAGCAGAUGCGAAAGCAGGUCAUAGUGAUCCGGUGGCA
RNAcentral lists this ribosomal RNA (1900 nucleotides) under human gut metagenome. Its description in RNAcentral is "bacterial LSU rRNA". It matches the Rfam family "Bacterial large subunit ribosomal RNA", at positions 523 to 2428 of the family's 2925-position model. The record is from RNAcentral.